GCCUCCGUGGUGUGACAGUUAGCACUCUUGGCUUGCAUUCGAGAGGUCGAGGUUCGAGUUCUGGCGAGGGUA
Molecule: transfer RNA, 72 nt
Filed under: Stegodyphus mimosarum
Lineage: Eukaryota; Metazoa; Arthropoda; Arachnida; Araneae; Eresidae
Rfam family: tRNA
About the family: Transfer RNA (tRNA) molecules are approximately 80 nucleotides in length.
Source: Rfam by way of RNAcentral